Long non-coding RNA from Calidris pygmaea (Spoon-billed sandpiper), 417 nucleotides. NCBI's taxonomy places the organism in Eukaryota, Metazoa, Chordata, Aves, Charadriiformes, Scolopacidae. The record is from Ensembl.
CAGCCGACGGGAGAAGGGCUGUUAGCUGUCAGUCCGCCCAGCUGUGACAGGGAGAUGAGGGAAUCCAGCUCCAUCUGCCACCAAGCAGCUCUGAUCUCCACAAAAUCUUCCCUCAUCCUGCUGAUACUCCUGGAUCAUCAAGUUUUCUCUACAUCUCUGAAUCACACGGCACAGAAGUCUGUGUUCAUCUGGUGGUUUGAGAACUAGCUGCCCUGAUACCAAGCAAGGCUUGCCAGAAAUAGAGAUAAGAGACUGUCAAUACCUGCUCUUCCCUUCAUGCACACGGGAAGCCUGUGAUGAAUGUUUUGGAUUCAUAUAACUAUUGCCCAAGGGCCACCAUUUUAAGGGAAGCUCCAAGGCUAGGGCUUAACCCCCAGCAGAGCUUUUGCUGGAAAUAAACAAGCCCAAAAAAUACCA